CACUGUGGUAUUCGCCCUUCGUACGGGUGGCUGCAGUGGGGAAUAUUGCACAAUGGGCGCAAGCCUGAUGCAGCCAUGCCGCGUGUAUGAAGAAGGCCUUCGGGUUGUAAAGUACUUUCAGCGAGGAGGAAGGCAUUGUGGUUAAUAACCACAGUGAUUGACGUUACUCGCAGAAGAAGCACCGGCUAACUCCGUGCCAGCAGCCGCGGUAAUACGGAGGGUGCAAGCGUUAAUCGGAAUUACUGGGCGUAAAGCGCACGCAGGCGGUCUGUCAAGUCGGAUGUGAAAUCCCCGGGCUCAACCUGGGAACUGCAUUCGAAACUGGCAGGCUAGAGUCUUGUAGAGGGGGGUAGAAUUCCAGGUGUAGCGGUGAAAUGCGUAGAGAUCUGGAGGAAUACCGGUGGCGAAGGCGGCCCCCUGGACAAAGACUGACGCUCAGGUGCGAAAGCGUGGGGAGCAAACAGGAUUAGAUACCCUAGUAGUCAAGGGCGAAUUCCACAUUGGG
Molecule: ribosomal RNA, 505 nt
Filed under: uncultured bacterium
Lineage: Bacteria
Description: bacterial SSU rRNA
Rfam family: Bacterial small subunit ribosomal RNA
Source: RNAcentral